UAGUCCUUAAAAAUAUUUUGUUCUUAUUCAUCAACAUUCUACAUCUUACUGUCUUCUCUCGUAAAGAAUUGUUUCCCUUAAAUUUUAAUAACAUAAGAAUUUUGCAACAAAAAACAAAAUGGUAGAUUCUUACCUAAAGACAUGGAGUUGGUUUACUUUUUUUGAAUUUCAUAAAAUACAGGCAUAGCCCUCAGUCUCUAAGGACAUGGCGUGUUAAUGAUCUGCUGAGCGUGGGUCUCUCGUGGCAGAGAAUGCUGCUCUGAGGAGCACUGCUUCUCAGAGUGGUUAAUGCCCCGCUGCAUUCUGCUCACUGCCUGUAACCUCCAGGCAACCCAGCAUCCCCAGGAGUGGAAUGAGGUUGUGUCUGGCACCCCAUGGUUGGAGGUAUUUCAUGUUGCAGGGUUAGGGCUUUGAUGAUACUGCGCAGAGGCGGGCCGUUUGGACUGCUGGAACUAACUUUGCAGUCUUGCCCUGUCUAGUCUUUCCUGUAACUGUUACAGCCUCGCAGUGUGUCGUGGUGCCUCAGUCAACAGCAGACCCGAAGUCUACGGUGAUCCCUUAUGUGUGUUCAGACUCUAUCAGGCAGUCUUACCGUCUCAUGGGAUUUGCUUCUUGUUGCUCUCUGAGUCUCUGUGAGGAUACUCUGAUGUUCCCCUAAUAAAACUGCCUCUCAGUGCAUUUCUCAGAGCACACCCCUUAGGAAGUGAGGUUUGAUGUGCCUGUUUUGCUGCCUGGUUUCCAUGUGCUGAUUGCCGAUCACUCUCAGACUCCAAAGACUACUGUGCUCCCGCAGCUUAUUGGCAGAGGUUCCAACUGGCUGAGUAAAUCUUUUUCUUCCUUCGGUCCCCUUAAUCCAGACUUAACCUUCGCGUUUAUAUUUUUGUGAUCUCAUGUCUUACUUAUCACCAUCUCCUCCUGGUUUCCUUCACCCUGGUUAUUCUUUUCAUGUCUCAGAUUCUGAUGUUCUUUUCUGAGCACCUUUUCCUUGUGCUCAUUUUCUCCUCUCAUUCAAGAGAUUGAUUUCUACAGGACUCUCUGAGAAAAGGUGCAUCCAUCAAAUGUGCUGGGUUGUUCCUAUGACUAUACAUACCUCUUUUCUUCCUUCCCUUCUUCUGCUGUGUGUCUGGGGACUUCUGUGGAGCUGCACCAGCCUGCAUUCCUUCAUGAAGGACAGUCACUGCCUGGCAGAACGACAGGGCAGGGGAGUGAGAAGCCUGAAGGGUCACUGAAGGUUCUGGUGGAUGCCAAUGACCACUCACUGGUGCUGCCUUGAACUCUUUGCUUGGACGUCAGCAUAGCCCUGAUGCGAGACAGACACGGCCGAUGAUCAGGCCCAGGCCUGACUGUGUGGGUUGCUGCAUUGGAAAGCAUUUAAAUAUAUAACCCCAGUGGUCUCUAAUGCUAAGUGGGAUGUUCACCCUCUGCCAAGAUGGAAAGUGAUUAUUCAAUGUCCUGAUCUGUUUUUUGUCAACUUGACACAAGCUGAAGAUGCAGGAAGAGGAAACCUCAGCAGAGGAAAUGCUUCCAUCAGAUUGGCCUGUGGGCAUUUUCUUGAUUGCUCAUUGAUGUGGGAGGGCCCAGCUCACUGUGGGUGGAGCCAUCCCUUGGCUGGUGCUCCUGAGUUCUGUAAGAAAGCAGGUUGAGCAAAGCCACACCUUCAUGGCCUCUACUUCAGUUCCUACCUCCAGGUUCCUGCCCUGACUUCCCUUGUGAUGGAAUAUGACCUGAGAGUUAUAAGAUGAAAUUAACUCUUUCCUCCCCAAGCUGCCUUUGGUUGUGAUAUAAUGAUAUCAGUGUAGUUUGCUUUCAUCCUAUUGGGAGGACAUGGUCCUCUGUGUCUUCCCUUGACAAGCUGAUGGGUCUGUGUCUCUUGUCAGCUCCAAACAACAGGAAGAAAGUCAUCUCCACCCCUCUCCUGCGAUCUGCUACUAGGGAGCAAACUAUUCCAAGUCUCAUCUGGUUGGGACACCACUGAGUGCCCAGUAAGAUCUGGUGAAGUGAGGAUGAGGUUCCUUCAUAUCAAGGCCAUUCCUUCUAUCUUCAGACUGUGAGCGGAAGAUACAAGCCACCUCCUGGCCACCUCCAUCUUUCCCCACAUUAUGAAAAGAUGUAGGGAAAGGAUACAGUAGACAGUUCCUUUCAUAGUGGGCUGGUGAGGGUAGAAGGUACUUGAUGGCGACCAGGCUGUGGAAAUUCUGAUGUCUUCCUCUAUGGCUCUGCCUCACCUGGUUUUCCCUAUGCUGAUAUCAACACAGAUUAGCUUUGCCUGGCCUGAAACUUUUUGCAAGUGGGAUCACACAGCACUAGUUUUACUUUGCUUUUUUUUGUUUUUCAACUUUGUCUCUGAGAUUCAUCCAAGCUGUGGUGUUAUAACAGGGGUUGGGGGCAUUAUUUCAGGUACUCCAUUUUGUGGAGCCAAUACAUAAUAAUCUAUUCUCCUGUAGUCCACCAUGAACUUGCUGCUGAUUCUUCUUCUUCUUCUUCUUCUUCUUCUUCUUCUUCUUCUUCUUCUUCUUCUUCUUCUUCUUCUUCGGACUAAGUCUCUUUACUAGACUAAGUCAACAUGAAGUCAGCCAUGCUAAAGUUCAUCACUAAACUGAGGGCCUACUGUUACUUCACCUUCAGAGAGCCUGGGGUCAGAGAAUAGCCAAAUUCUCUAAACAGGCUAUUUUCUGUUAGCAUAAUAGUGACAUUUCCUUCUAUGUUCAUUCUUAAAUUAAGUACUGUAAAAUAGCCAAGAUUGCCUCAUCAGUUGUUUUCUUGUUUUCUGUCUCCUAUGCCCUCCUGGUGUGGAAAAUAGCUUUGAGAUGAGCAGUUCACUUUUGGCUUUUGUUUUUGUCUUUAGUCUUUUUCUGUUCUUGAAGCCAGAUGCCUUUGCUUGAGCUGUGAGGGCCCUCGCCUUUCUUUAGGGAAUGAAGUAUGGAUCAGUUCUGGAGUAGAGAGUAAAACCAUUUGAGAUGACUAAAUUAUUGUAAUUUUGUCCUUUGAUGUUCUCUAAAAAUAGAAUUGCUAGGUGGUGGGUAUUUUUAUUUACUGUAAAUUGAUUUUGGGUCACAGUCUUACUACAUCCACAUUAGCCUCAGAUUUGGAAUCCUCCUACCUCAGUUUAACAUUUCUGAAUAUUAAAGAUACAUACCACCAUACCCAGCUGAAACUUAUUUUUUUCCAUAUUUUUCUCUUUUGUGUGCCUUGGGUGGGUCAUAAAAUUGAUGGAGUACUUAAUUUUAUUUUAAGACAAGGUCCAUUUAUGUUGACCUUGAAUUUGUAAUAGAAAGAUCUCCCAUGUUCACGUAUUGGUAGAGUUGAUAUUGUAAAAAUGACCAUCCUACCAAAAGUAAUUUAUGCAUUCAGUUCAAUCCCAAUUAAAAUCUUCAAAGAAAUAGAAAAACAAUUUUUAAUUCUUUAUUAAUUACACUUUAUUCACUUUGUAUCCCCCCCUGUAGUUCCCUUUCUCCUCCCCUCCCAAAUCCCUCCCUUCCUCCCCCUUCUGCAUGCAUGCGCCUCCCCAAGUCCACUGAUAGGGGAGGACUUCUUUCCUUCCUUCUGAUCCUAGUCUGUUAGGUCUCAUCAGGACAUUGUCUUCCUCUGUGGCCUGGUAAGGCUGCUCCCCCCUCAGGGGGAGGUGAUUAAAGAGCAGCUCAAUCAGUUCAUGUCAGAGACAGUCCCUGUUCCUAUUACAAUGGAACCCACUUGGACACUGAACUGCCAUGGGCUACAUCUGUACAGGGACGGGUCCUAGGUUAUCUCCAUGCAUGGCCCUUGGUUGGAGUAUGAGUCUCAGGAAAAACCCCUGUGCUCAGAUUUUUUGGUUUUGUUGCUCUCCUUGUGGAGUUCCCGUCCUCUCCAGAUCCUGCUAUUUCUCACUUCUUUCAUAAAAUUCCCUGAACUCUGAAAAAUAAUUUUAGAAUUCACAUGGAAGCAAAAAGACAGCAGCUUAUCCAGAGUAAUCCUGAGCCAGAAGAAUAAUGAUGCGAAAGCAUGCCUGACUUCAAUGUAUACUACAAAGCCACAGUAACAAUAAUAACAAAAACAUGAUGGCUAGGCAUAAUGGCACAGGCUACUUGGAAGGCAGAUGCAGGCAUCCUUGUGAAUUUGAAGUCAGCCUGGUCUACAUAGUGGGACUUUGCCCCAAAGAAACAAACAAAAACCAUAGCAUGGUACUGGCACACACACAAAAAUAGAAACAUAAACCCAAUAGACUAAAACAAUCCCCAUCGCCCAGAUUUAAGUUCAUGCAAAGAUGCCACAAAUAUACAGUGGAGAAAAGAUAAGAUCUUCAACAAAGACAGGUAAAACUGAAUGUCUGCGUGUAGAAAAAUAAAAGUCGACCCCUGUCUCUCACCCUGCACAAAGCUCAACUCCAAAUGGACCACAUAUCUCAACAUAAAACCUGAAACGGAAACGUCUAGAAGAGAGGCUAGGGUAUGUGCUUCAGGAUACAUGGAAGCAAAAGCAAAGAGUUCCCAAAUAGUACCCCAGUCACUCAGAAAAUAGAGCCAGCAGCUGACAAAUGGGGCCUCAUGAAACUGAAAAGCUUCUGUAUGGUGAUGAAAAUAGUCAAGUAAAGAGGCAUCUGACAGAGAGAGAAGAUCUCUGCAGGCUACAGUCUUAGUUAGGGUUCCCAUUGCUGUGAAGAGACACCGUGCCCACAGCAACUCUUAUAAACGAAAAUAUUUAGUUGGGGCUGACUUACAGUUUCAGAGGUUCAGUCUUUUAUCAUCACGGCAGGAAGCAUGGCAGAACACAGGCAGACAUGGUGCCGGAGAAGGAGCUGACAGUUCUACAUCUUGAUUCGCAGGCAUCAAAGAGGAGACUGUGUGCCACACUGGGCGUAGCUUGAGUGCAGGUGUCAUCCAUUGUUGGUUGGCUCUGCUCUUUGAGGGCUGUGCAGGGAUGGUAGAAGGGCUUGAAGGAGCAAAGUUACUCAGCUCCUGACAGCCAGGAACAGAAGAACGAGAGAUGCAGGGAACCAGAUCCAGAAGACGCAGAUGCCGAAGAGACAUCCCAGGGAGCUUCUUCCUCCAAAUGGGCUCCACCUCUGAAAGUUUCCAGACCUCCCCACAGUGCCAUCAAAUUAGGAAGCCAACAGGAUUAAUCCACUGCUGAGGCCAGAGCUCUCAUGGCCCAGUCAUCUCUCAGUGCCUGAGUCCUCCAGCUGUGGACCAAACCAAACACAAGAGCCUUAUAGGGGAUGCUUCAAUCCAGAGCGUAAUCCUGUGCUGUGCUGUAAAAUAGACCGGUGAGAAGUUUCCUGUGAAUAUGCAACCUCUAUGUUCAAAAGCCGCAGAAAACUGCCACUCUUAAACCUGUCACCUGAACCCGAGGAAGCAGGAACCAAUAGAAGACAUUAAGUUUCAAAAUAGUUGCUCAUGUUAUUACCCUGCUUGGAGUUGUUCUUAACUUGGCAGAUUUUAACAUCCACCAUGUUU
Molecule: long non-coding RNA, 5429 nt
Organism: Meriones unguiculatus (Mongolian gerbil)
Lineage: Eukaryota; Metazoa; Chordata; Mammalia; Rodentia; Muridae
Exons: 3
Source: RefSeq, a predicted model, not a curated record